This 73-nucleotide transfer RNA is filed under the name Tursiops truncatus (common bottlenose dolphin). Its description in RNAcentral is "tRNA-Trp (CCA) (tRNA-Trp-CCA-30-1)". It matches the Rfam family "tRNA". From Rfam's summary of the family: Transfer RNA (tRNA) molecules are approximately 80 nucleotides in length. Their secondary structure includes four short double-helical elements and three loops (D, anti-codon, and T loops). Further hydrogen bonds mediate the characteristic L-shaped molecular structure. tRNAs have two regions of fundamental functional importance: the anti-codon, which is responsible for specific mRNA codon recognition, and the 3' end, to which the tRNAs corresponding amino acid is attached (by aminoacyl-tRNA synthetases). tRNAs cope with the degeneracy of the genetic code in two manners: having more than one tRNA (with a specific anti-codon) for a particular amino acid; and 'wobble' base-pairing, i.e. permitting non-standard base-pairing at the 3rd anti-codon position. Lineage: Eukaryota; Metazoa; Chordata; Mammalia; Artiodactyla; Delphinidae. The record is from Rfam by way of RNAcentral. RNAcentral also lists the same sequence under 1 other name.
UCCCUGGAGGUCCAGUGGUUAGGACUCCAUGCUUCCACUGCUGGGGACCCAGGUUCAAUCCCUGGUCAGGGAA